UGGGGGAUAUUGCACAAUGGGCGAAAGCCUGAUGCAGCGACGCCGCGUGGGGGAUGAAGGCCUUCGGGUUGUAAACUUCUUUUGCUCUGAACAAGGCAUGCUAAUGGGUGUGUUGAGUGUAGGGGUUGAUUAGCGCCGGCUAACUACGUGCCAGCAGCCGCGGUAAUACGUAGGGCGCGAGCGUUGUCCGGAAUUAUUGGGCGUAACGGGCUUGUAGGUGGCUGGUUGCGUCUGUCGUGAAAGCUCAUGGCUUAACUGUGGGUUUGCGGGGGGUACGGGCUGGCUUGAGUGCAGUAGGGGAGGCUGGAAUUCCUGGUGUAGCGGUGGAAUGCGCAGAUAUCAGGAGGAAUACCGGUGGCGAAGGCGGGUCUCUGGGCUGUUACUGACACUGAGGAGCGAAAGCAUGGGGAGCGAACAGG
Molecule: ribosomal RNA, 419 nt
Filed under: bacterium
Lineage: Bacteria
Description: partial 16S ribosomal RNA
Rfam family: Bacterial small subunit ribosomal RNA
Source: RNAcentral